RNAcentral lists this transfer RNA (74 nucleotides) under bacterium. RNAcentral's name for it is "tRNA-Gln". It matches the Rfam family "tRNA". From Rfam's summary of the family: Transfer RNA (tRNA) molecules are approximately 80 nucleotides in length. The record is from RNAcentral.
UGUCCGAUCGUCCAAUGGCAGGACAUUAGACUUUGACUCUAAGAAUCUAGGUUCGAAUCCUAGUCGGACAACCA